This 801-nucleotide ribosomal RNA is filed under the name Streptomyces sp. RNAcentral's name for it is "bacterial SSU rRNA". It matches the Rfam family "Bacterial small subunit ribosomal RNA", at positions 67 to 883 of the family's 1533-position model. Lineage: Bacteria; Bacillati; Actinomycetota; Actinomycetes; Kitasatosporales; Streptomycetaceae. The record is from RNAcentral.
CGAUGAACCACUUCGGUGGGGAUUAGUGGCGAACGGGUGAGUAACACGUGGGCAAUCUGCCCUGCACUCUGGGACAAGCCCUGGAAACGGGGUCUAAUACCGGAUAACAGCUUCCAUCGCAUGGUGGGGGUUUGAAAGCUCCGGCGGUGCAGGAUGAGCCCGCGGCCUAUCAGCUUGUUGGUGAGGUAGUGGCUCACCAAGGCGACGACGGGUAGCCGGCCUGAGAGGGCGACCGGCCACACUGGGACUGAGACACGGCCCAGACUCCUACGGGAGGCAGCAGUGGGGAAUAUUGCACAAUGGGCGCAAGCCUGAUGCAGCGACGCCGCGUGAGGGAUGACGGCCUUCGGGUUGUAAACCUCUUUCAGCAGGGAAGAAGCGAGAGUGACGGUACCUGCAGAAGAAGCGCCGGCUAACUACGUGCCAGCAGCCGCGGUAAUACGUAGGGCGCAAGCGUUGUCCGGAAUUAUUGGGCGUAAAGAGCUCGUAGGCGGCUUGUCGCGUCGGUUGUGAAAGCCCGGGGCUUAACCCCGGGUCUGCAGUCGAUACGGGCAGGCUAGAGUUCGGUAGGGGAGAUCGGAAUUCCUGGUGUAGCGGUGAAAUGCGCAGAUAUCAGGAGGAACACCGGUGGCGAAGGCGGAUCUCUGGGCCGAUACUGACGCUGAGGAGCGAAAGCGUGGGGAGCGAACAGGAUUAGAUACCCUGGUAGUCCACGCCGUAAACGGUGGGCACUAGGUGUGGGCAACAUUCCACGUUGUCCGUGCCGCAGCUAACGCAUUAAGUGCCCCGCCUGGGGAGUAC